RNAcentral lists this ribosomal RNA (494 nucleotides) under uncultured bacterium. RNAcentral's name for it is "partial 16S ribosomal RNA". It matches the Rfam family "Bacterial small subunit ribosomal RNA", at positions 28 to 523 of the family's 1533-position model. The record is from RNAcentral.
GAUGAACGCUGGCGGCGUGCUUAACACAUGCAAGUCGAACGGGAAUUACUUUAUUGAAACUUCGGUCGAUUUAAUUUAAUUCUAGUGGCGGACGGGUGAGUAACGCGUGGGUAACCUGCCUUAUACAGGGGGAUAACAGUCAGAAAUGGCUGCUAAUACCGCAUAAGCGCACAGAGCUGCAUGGCUCAGUGGGAAAAACUCCGGUGGUAUAAGAUGGACCCGCGUUGGAUUAGCUUGUUGGUGGGGUAACGGCCCACCAAGGCGACGAUCCAUAGCCGGCCUGAGAGGGUGAACGGCCACAUUGGGACUGAGACACGGCCCAGACUCCUACGGGAGGCAGCAGUGGGGAAUAUUGCACAAUGGGGGAAACCCUGAUGCAGCGACGCCGCGUGAAGGAAGAAGUAUCUCGGUAUGUAAACUUCUAUCAGCAGGGAAGAUAGUGACGGUACCUAACCAGAAAGCCCCGGCUAACUACGUGCCAGCAGCCGCAGUAA